Molecule: non-coding RNA, 127 nt
Filed under: Actinophytocola sp.
Lineage: Bacteria; Bacillati; Actinomycetota; Actinomycetes; Pseudonocardiales; Pseudonocardiaceae
Also listed under: 1 other name
Description: SAM-I sequence
Rfam family: SAM riboswitch aptamer (S box leader)
About the family: The SAM riboswitch is found upstream of a number of genes which code for proteins involved in methionine or cysteine biosynthesis in Gram-positive bacteria.
Source: RNAcentral
CGCUCAUCCAGAGGGGCAGAGGGAUCGGCCCGAAGAAGCCCCGGCAACCGGCGUCAGCCAUUUCGCGUACGCGAGGACGGCGACGAACACGGUGCCAAUUCCGACCCGUACGCGGGACAGAUGAGGA